UCCGGUUUAUCACCGGCAGUCUCCUUUGAGUUCCCGACCGAAUCGCUGGCAACAAAGGAUAAGGGUUGCGCUCGUUGCGGGACUUAACCCAACAUUUCGCAACACGAGCUGACGACAGCCAUGCAGCACCUGUCUCAGCGUUCCCGAAGGCACCAAAGCAUCUCUGCUAAGUUCGCUGGAUGUCAAGAGUAGGUAAGGUUCUUCGCGUUGCAUCGAAUUGAACCACAUGCUCCACCGCUUGUGCGGGCCCCCGUCAAUUCAUUUGAGUUUUAACCUUGCGGCCGUACUCCCCAGGCGGUCUACUUCACGCGUUAGCUG
RNAcentral lists this unclassified non-coding RNA (318 nucleotides) under uncultured Enterobacteriaceae bacterium. RNAcentral's name for it is "contains 16S-23S intergenic spacer region". Lineage: Bacteria; Pseudomonadati; Pseudomonadota; Gammaproteobacteria; Enterobacterales; Enterobacteriaceae. The record is from RNAcentral.